GUGGGGAAUAUUGGACAAUGGGGGGAACCCUGAUCCAGCCAUGCCGCGUGUGUGAAGAAGGCCUUUUGGUUGUAAAGCACUUUAAGCGAGGAGGAGGCUACCGAGAUUAAUACUCUUGGAUAGUGGACGUUACUCGCAGAAUAAGCACCGGCUAACUCUGUGCCAGCAGCCGCGGUAAUACAGAGGGUGCAAGCGUUAAUCGGAUUUACUGGACGUAAAGCGCGCGUAGGUGGCCAAUUAAGUCAAAUGUGAAAUCCCCGAGCUUAACUUGGGAAUUGCAUUCGAUACUGGUUGGCUAGAGUAUGGGAGAGGAUGGUAGAAUUCCAGGUGUAGCGGUGAAAUGCGUAGAGAUCUGGAGGAAUACCGAUGGCGAAGGCAGCCAUCUGGCCUAAUACUGACACUGAGGUGCGAAAGCAUGGGGAGCAAACAGGAUUAGAAACCCUUGUAGUCC
Molecule: ribosomal RNA, 451 nt
Filed under: uncultured bacterium
Lineage: Bacteria
Description: partial 16S ribosomal RNA
Rfam family: Bacterial small subunit ribosomal RNA
Source: RNAcentral